CUACGGGGUGCUGCAGUGGGGAAUAUUGCACAAUGGAGGAAACUCUGAUGCAGCAACGCCGCGUGGAGGAUGACACAUUUCGGUGCGUAAACUCCUUUUAUAUGAGAAGAUAAUGACGGUAUCAUAUGAAUAAGCUCCGGCUAACUCCGUGCCAGCAGCCGCGGUAAUACGGGGGGAGCAAGCGUUACUCGGAAUCACUGGGCGUAAAGAGCAUGUAGGCUGAUAGAUAAGUUGGAAGUGAAAUCCUAUGGCUUAACCAUAGAACUGCUUCCAAAACUGUCUGUCUAGAAUAUGGGAGAGGUAGGUGGAAUUUCUGGUGUAGGGGUAAAAUCCGUAGAGAUCAGAAGGAAUACCGAUUGCGAAGGCGAUCUACUGGAACAUAAUUGACGCUGAGAUGCGAAAGCGUGGGGAGCAAACAGGAUUAGAUACCCUCGUAGUC
This 439-nucleotide ribosomal RNA is filed under the name uncultured bacterium. Its description in RNAcentral is "partial 16S ribosomal RNA". It matches the Rfam family "Bacterial small subunit ribosomal RNA", at positions 339 to 795 of the family's 1533-position model. The record is from RNAcentral.